CCUUGAAGCCUAUAUCAGCCUGCGCAGUCCGAAAAUCCUUUUCGAAAAACUGUGCAGGCCAGACUGUACAGUUCAAAUUCGCACGUGCAGAGGCACUGUGGGAUCUCCCUUGAAGAUUCAUGCGAUAUCACUUAUUAUUUUCAUUUUGUUUGUUUCUGCGUGUGUACCUUUAAAUAAACUACCGUUUAAAAUGAGCCGAGAAUUUAUUGAAGAAUUUAAUAAACUUUAUGAGAGUAAGCUUUGUCUUUGGCACAUCAAAUUAAAAGAUUACCGUGACAAGAACAAAAACGAUUCUGCGUACGCCUAAUUAGUCAACAGAGAGAAGUUGAACCAAAUGCCACAAAGGACAGCGUAAUAAAAAAUUAAACAAUAUGAGAAGCGUUUAUAGAAAGGAGAAUACAAAAAUAAAAGAAUCCAUUAAGUCUGGUGUAUUAACAGAUAAAUUUUAGAGUCACCGUGAGCCUUUCAUGAGGUGAAAUGGCUUGUCUCAUUACUGUAUCAUUUUUUUAAAAAUUGAUAAUUAGAUAAAUUUCUUAAUUAUUUCCAUUAAAAUUAAAUGUUCUAUUACUUAAAAUAUGUUUUUAUAGAGAAAAACUACGUUCUACGUGUACACCAGUUAUUGGUGCAUAUUUAAAACAUUUUAAUAAAGCAGGUGUUAAAUCUAAAUUAACAUUUACUUUAUCUGACAUGACUUCAUAGUACGACUUUAAAGUUUUAUUUUCUUCGUUUUUUUAAUUACAUACAUACAUUUUUCUUUAAUUUUUUUCACAUUUGUACCAUGAAUAUUUGUU
This is a non-coding RNA of Cinara cedri, 791 nucleotides long. Lineage: Eukaryota; Metazoa; Arthropoda; Insecta; Hemiptera; Aphididae. The record is from the annotation of a GenBank genome assembly.